Sinocyclocheilus anshuiensis is the source of this 99-nucleotide long non-coding RNA. RefSeq lists it as uncharacterized. The record is from RefSeq and is a predicted model, not a curated record. Lineage: Eukaryota; Metazoa; Chordata; Actinopteri; Cypriniformes; Cyprinidae. The transcript is spliced from 3 exons.
UUUACAUUAAAACAAUAAUAUAGUGCUCCAAUACGUUUUUAUAAUAAUGACAUAAAAUACAAAAACACUUGUGCAAGCGAAUCGUGCCCACAGCUAAAG